RNAcentral lists this ribosomal RNA (492 nucleotides) under uncultured bacterium. RNAcentral's name for it is "partial 16S ribosomal RNA". It matches the Rfam family "Bacterial small subunit ribosomal RNA", at positions 29 to 507 of the family's 1533-position model. The record is from RNAcentral.
AGUGAACGCUGGCGGUAGGCCUAACACAUGCAAGUCGAACGGCAGCACAGUAAGAGCUUGCUCUUACGGGUGGCGAGUGGCGGACGGGUGAGGAAUACAUCGGAAUCUACUUUUUCGUGGGGGAUAACGUAGGGAAACUUACGCUAAUACCGCAUACGACCUACGGGUGAAAGCAGGGGAUCUUCGGACCCUGCGCGAUUGAAUGAGCCGAUGUCGGAUUAGCUAGUUGGCGGGGUAAAGGCCCACCAAGGCGACGAUCCGUAGCUGGUCUGAGAGGAUGAUCAGCCACACUGGAACUGAGACACGGUCCAGACUCCUACGGGAGGCAGCAGUGGGGAAUAUUGGACAAUGGGCGCAGGCCUGAUCCAGCCAUACCGCGUGGGUGAAGAAGGUCUUCGGGUUGUAAAGCCCUUUUGUUGGGAAAGAAAAGCAGCAGGUUAAUACCCCGCUGUUCUGACGGUACCCAAAGAAUAAGCACCGGCUAACUUCGUG